AACCCAUGGUGAGGGCACUCUCUUCGGUACUCCUUGUACCUUUCCCAAGCUUCGCAGAAAGCUUUACCAGGUUUCUGUUUAAAUGACGAGAUCUUGUUCUUCAAGGCU
RNAcentral lists this small nucleolar RNA (108 nucleotides) under Eutrema salsugineum. Its description in RNAcentral is "Plant small nucleolar RNA R71". It matches the Rfam family "Plant small nucleolar RNA R71". Rfam says of the family: R71 is a member of the C/D box family of snoRNAs containing the C (UGAUGA) and D (CUGA) box motifs. The record is from Rfam by way of RNAcentral. Lineage: Eukaryota; Viridiplantae; Streptophyta; Magnoliopsida; Brassicales; Brassicaceae.